RNAcentral lists this ribosomal RNA (253 nucleotides) under uncultured bacterium. RNAcentral's name for it is "partial 16S ribosomal RNA". It matches the Rfam family "Bacterial small subunit ribosomal RNA", at positions 524 to 776 of the family's 1533-position model. The record is from RNAcentral.
UACGGAGGGGGCGAGCGUUAUUCGGAAUUAUUGGGCGUAAAGGGCGCGUAGGCGGCCUGGUCAGUCGAAGGUGAAAUCCCCGAGCUCAACUUGGGAACUGCCUUCGAUACUGCCGGGCUUGAGUCCGGGAGGGGAGAGUGGAAUUCCCAGUGUAGCGGUGAAAUGCGUAGAUAUUGUCAAGAACACCAAUUGCGAAGGCAGCUUACUAAAUUAUAACUGACGCUGAGGCACGAAAGUGUGGGUAUCAAACAGG